UUAAAAUCAAGUUUAAUUGUUUUUGAUUGCUCUUAGUUAAAAAAAUUGUGAUACUUAAUGGACAUGUGUCAUUGAUCAUUGGAAAGUUUUUUCCAAUAAAUGUCUUUUGUAGUUGACUGUGUCACAGAAUUUAAGCCUAAGAAUAGUAAAAACGUCCAGAAGGAAUUAGGUGGUAACCUAUAAGUAUAUGGCAGCUCAAGUCUAGAACAAGUCAGAUUUUCCUCAUACUUCAAUUCUGAAUUUGAAUUGAAGUCAAUUCAAUUCAAAACAACUGAACUAACCUAAAAAAAGAUGUAAAUGAUUGGAGAAGAGCUGAAUUACAAAGUGAAUACGCUUCUGAUAUGGCAGGACUUCUGGCCUCUGUUAUUAUUGCCAAUGGUAGGGAUAUGUUUUGUCGUGUGUGUGUGUGUGUGUGUUCAUGCGCAUGUGUGGGUGUGUGUCAUGCAGGUGUACUUUGACAAAAUGAAAAUGAAGGAUCUGCUCUGUACUCACAUUAUCAUUGAGAAAAUUUGCCUUGUAUAUGCUAGCAUUUUUGACUCCUAUUGUCAGUAAGAAAAACAUGUAUUAAUAAUAAAAGCAUGUAUGAUUUCCAUGAUGGCUUAGAGAAAGCAAAGCAUACUCCAAAGGAUAUUUUUAAAGGACAGUGAUCCUGGUGUGGCAGAGAUGCAUGAUUAACAUAACAGAAUGCCAGCCAGAAGCACAUUUUGCCUAUUGUAAAAGUGGUUCCUCUGUUACCUUACAUUUCUGCCUACUCAGGCACUCCAAUAGCUUUGUUUUGAAUUACCUUUACCUUUCUGUUAUCCCCUUUACUUGGCAACUCUCAUUUUAAUUACCCAGAGAAACAUCUAUGCAUUUUUCUCCCAGGAGACUUUUGAAUAGUAAUAAUAUACCAUUAGCCAUCUUUGGAGAAAAAGCAAGUACUUAUCGAGAAUUAUGUUACUCAUAUUCCUCUGAGUUGUCUGUUUCUUACCCAAGUUCUAUUUAGGAUUUCAAGAUACAAUCCUGACUCAUACUUUUUAGAAGAAAACAGCCCGUGGGCUGGUACUAAGAAGAAAACUAUUCUCCUAUUUUCAAAACACUCUUGGAAAAUAGUUAUAGCCCAACCACAUAUCACACUGUGCAUGUGUAUAAUUCUUUACAAUUCAUCUGUUUGCUCCUUACAAAAAUGUUUUCAGGAUAUUAAGGAAGACAUUGGGAUUGAUUCCCAUUUUUCAUUGCAAGAAACCUAAUUACAUUAAGAGAAGCUAUUUUAGGUUAGGAGAAAGGAGCAGGUGACUGGCUUUUAUCACACACCGAGUACAUGACAAAUUCAGAACUCCAACCUAGGAUUCUAGUUUCUUACCCACACAUUCUCCUUCUCUAAAUUGGAAAUUAUUUUUCUACUUUAUUCCUUAAAUGAUAACGAUCACAUCUGACUGGGCAUUGUAUUUAUUUUUGUUUUUAUUUAUUUAUUUAUUUUUACCAAUAUUGAUAUUUUUAUUUCUUUUUUUCUUUUUUUUUAAUUUUAUUAUUAUUAUACUUUAAGUUUUAGGGUACAUGUGCACAACGUGCAGGUUAGUUACAUAUGUAUACAUGUGCCAUGUUGGUGUGCUGCACCCAUUAACUCAUCAUUUAGCAUUAGGUAUAUCUCCAAUGCUAUCCCUCCCCCCUCCCCCCACCCCACAACAGGAAGGGGAACAUCACACACCGGGGACUGUUGACUGGGCAUUUUAUUGGUGUCUUUCCACAACUUAUCCAGUGUAUGUAUUUGAAAUGCAUCUUCUUUACAGUCAUGAGCACUUUCAUGAAGAGACAAGUGGGACUGAAUGCUAAAACAGCGGCUAUUUGAACAAGCGAAAAGAGACUUGUUAAUUGGACACUGCUUUGGUUUGAGCUGCUGUUGCUGCUACUACUACUGCUACUCCUAAAGAGACAAUAACAGAACCUGUACACACUGAUGGCAGCAGUAAGCAGGAUACAGGAAUAUAAUUAUAAGUCAGCACCUCAGGAAGGGGAGACUCCUUGGGGGGCAUCCCAUUACUAAAGGAAAACUGUUAGCAGCUAUGAUGAGGCUAGGAAAGGCAUUCUGAGUAUUUUAGCAAUUGCAGGGCAAGGAACAGGAAGCAGUUGAGGAAGAGGAAAAAGCUGAAAAUAUACUUCCACUAAUCUCCAGUUUAUUUAUCUUUUCUCCAGAUAGCACUCAGCAGUGUUACUUGCAUCAUGGAUAGGAAUGGUUUUAGGAACAGCUGGCCUCUCUUGAACCAAAAGACAGAUUCUACAAAAUGAAUGCAAUUGUCAUGAUUCCUUUCUCCAGGAAGAAUUAACUUGGAUUAAAGGUGAGGAAAAUGGAUGUCUACACCACUCGCAGACGGGCUGCUACCCAUUCUUCUAACGACCCCCUUAUCUUUCCUCCAAAUCAUUGACUUUCCCUUAUGAAGAAGGCAUAUAAGCUUCUAUAUCUCACUGGGUUUUGGGGUAUUCACUUUUCUUUUUCUGUGAUGCCCCCAUGCACGUAAUAAAUUUGGGAUCUUUUG
RNAcentral lists this long non-coding RNA (2513 nucleotides) under Homo sapiens (human). RNAcentral's name for it is "HSALNT0286962". The record is from RNAcentral. Lineage: Eukaryota; Metazoa; Chordata; Mammalia; Primates; Hominidae.